CUGAAGUCCGUUGACUCAGAGUGGACGUCGCCAUUUUACAAGCUGUCACGAGAAUUUUAAAUUCCAAUGAUAAUAACUGACAAUCAAUAACUCUGACCAAUCCCCGAGAUCUGUAAGACCUCGGGUUUAAUAAUAAUUAGUCAAAGACUCAGCUUAUGCAAAAAGAUACUACAGUUUAUUCAGAGAACGUUCUAAAGUCCAUUAUACAAAGACAUCCAUUUUAUUGCACAUACUUCCACACAAACAGUAGGUAUCCUACGCACAUACUUCCACACAAACAGUAGGUAUCCUACGCACAUACUUCCACACAAACAGUAGGUAUCCUACGCACAUACUUCCACACAAACAGUAGGUAUCCUACGCACAUACUUCCACACAAACAGUAGGUAUCCUACGCACAUACUUCCACACAAACAGUAGGUAUCCUACGCACAUACUUCCACACAAACAGUAGGUAUCCUACGCACAUACUUCCACACAAACAGUAGGUAUCCUACGCACAUACUUCCACACAAACAGUAGGUAUCCUACGCACAUACUUCCACACAAACAGCAGGUAUCCUACAUACUUCCACACAAACAGUAGGUAUCCUACGCACAUACUUCCACACAAACAGUAGGUAUCCUACGCACAUACUUCCACACAAACAGUAGGUAUCCCACGCACAUACUUCCACACAAACAGUAGGUAUCCUAC
This is a long non-coding RNA of Oncorhynchus keta (chum salmon), 697 nucleotides long. RefSeq lists it as uncharacterized. NCBI's taxonomy places the organism in Eukaryota, Metazoa, Chordata, Actinopteri, Salmoniformes, Salmonidae. The transcript is spliced from 3 exons. The record is from RefSeq and is a predicted model, not a curated record.